CGACAGCAAUAUGAAGGUCAGGCUGAAGACCUUACCCGAUUAGCUGAGAGGUGGUGCAUGGCCGUCGUCAGUUCGUACUGUGAAGCAUCCUGUUAAGUCAGGCAACGAGCGAGACCCACGUCCACAGUUGCCAGCAUACCCGUCCGGGGUGAUGGGUACACUGUGGAGACCGCCGCUGCUAAAGCGGAGGAAGGAGUGGGCAACGGUAGGUCAGUAUGCCCCGAAUCUCCCGGGCUACACGCGGGCUACAAUGGUUGGUACAAUGGGCAUCUACCCCGAAAGGGGAAGGAAAUCUCUUAAAGCCAAUCGUAGUUCGGAUUGAGGGCUGCAACUCGCCCUCAUGAAGCUGGAAUCCGUAGUAAUCGCGUUUCAACAGAACGCGGUGAAUACGUCCCUGCUCCUU
RNAcentral lists this ribosomal RNA (403 nucleotides) under uncultured Methanosaeta sp. Its description in RNAcentral is "bacterial SSU rRNA". It matches the Rfam family "Archaeal small subunit ribosomal RNA", at positions 937 to 1338 of the family's 1478-position model. Lineage: Archaea; Methanobacteriati; Methanobacteriota; Methanomicrobia; Methanotrichales; Methanotrichaceae. The record is from RNAcentral.